GAAUGCAUUGUAGAAAGCACUGAAUUUAUAGAAUUCAGUCAGGCGGAUAUUAGGUUACCUAUUCCAACGAUGACGGUGAAAUGAAAAGGAUGCUGUCUGUGAAGCUGGUGAAAAGGAAGUCAAAAUUUCUUUUGAGGAUAGACGUCUUGAUGGACUGGUUGUAAAUGCUGAGAAAAAUGGAAACAUCUCAGAUGUCAGACACUGCUUUUCUCUUUUGUCUUAUCAAAGGAGAGCUGAGAAGGAAUCAGUUGUAGAUAUGAUUUGAAGCUAUGGGUUGAAGUCAGGUUAGAAUAUGUUAAAAUUGCAAGGCAUCAGCAUACAAAUCCCAUGUUUAAAGCCUUGAGAAUAGAUGAGAUCAUCCAUGAAGAGAGUAUGAUAUAGAAGAGUAGAGGGCCAAAGAUUUAGCUCUAGGGCCAAUAACACUUAGAAUUGGUUGACUGGAGGAAGAAAAGCCAGGAAACGUCUCUCAUUAGAAGCAGCCAUUGAAGCAGAAUGAAAAGCAGAAGACUGUGUUCCUGAAAGCCAACAAACAAUAUUUUUAGGAGUAAGUAGUCAGUUAUGUCAAACGCUGCUGAAACAUUGAAUACCUUGAUAAAAAGAAUUAAUCAUUGGAUUUAAGAAAGGUAGAAGGUCUCUGGUGCCUUUGCAGCAAAAUUUUAGUGGGAGUAGUGGGGCAAAUUCCCAACAGAAAGGAGCUUGAAAAGAUACACAAUGUGGGUGUGACAGGGUUGUGGGUUGAGAUCGAAUAGAAUUGACAACUAUUGACAAUCCCUUGUGAGAUGUUUUUCUGUAAAUGGAAGUAGAGAAGAGAUCUCUUCUUCAUCUUAAUAUCUGUUUAUGGGGGCACUGCCCUGGUAUGGACUCUGUCAUCACCAGGCUCCUUUGCUCCGUUGAGAACAGGUUAGAAAUAGGACUUUAGAAAAAUUCUGAAUCAGUGGGAGUGGUUUUAGUGCUGCACAUUUCUACCCCAUUAAUAUGCAAAAGCUUAUGAGAAUUUGAAAGCGAUUUUACAAAAAAUAGUUCAAUUAAGAAGACACAGGGGGAGUUCCUGUCAUGGCUCAGAGGUUAAUGAACCUGACUAGCAUGCCUGGCCUCACUCAGUGUGUUAAGGAUCCAGCAUUGCCGUGAGCUGUGAUGUAGGUCGCAGACAUAGCUGGGAUCCCGCAUUGCCANAAAAAAACCAAAAAAAAAAAAAAAAAGGAGAAAGAAAGAAAGAAAAAAAAGAAAACACAGAGAACUAUACUCGAUAUCUUCUAAUGAGCUAUAAUGGAAGAGAAUAUAAAAUACUAUAUAUUUAUAUAUAUAUACACAUGUAAUUGAAUUGCUCUGCUGCAUACCUGAAACUAACACAAUAUUGUAAAUCAACUAUAUUUAAAUAAAAAUUAAAACAGUGGAGUUUCCUUGUGGCA
RNAcentral lists this long non-coding RNA (1409 nucleotides) under Sus scrofa (pig). Its description in RNAcentral is "lncRNA (ENSSSCG00025069912.1)". Lineage: Eukaryota; Metazoa; Chordata; Mammalia; Artiodactyla; Suidae. The record is from RNAcentral.